RNAcentral lists this long non-coding RNA (2291 nucleotides) under Triticum aestivum (bread wheat). RNAcentral's name for it is "long non-coding RNA (TAES_LNC004269)". Lineage: Eukaryota; Viridiplantae; Streptophyta; Magnoliopsida; Poales; Poaceae. The record is from RNAcentral.
UCCUCAUAUUUUUGGUAUGAAUUUGAUGAAUCUUCUUGAUGCUCUGUUCUUAUUCAUCUAGAGAUUCCUCCUCAUAUUGAUUGUUUGUAUUGCUCUGUUCUUGUCAUUUUGUAAAUUAGAAAACAGUAGUCAGUAUUUUUUUAUAAAAAAGUUUACCGCAUAAAAAAUGCAACAGUAGUUCAACACAAUAUCAAGGAGGGUGUGAGUUGGGUAUGGUUACAGACGAAAGAUAUGUGUUGAAAAGUUCACUUCGUCUACAUACGUAAGUUCAAAAAAUUGUCAUAGAGCUAGUUUAAAAAAUUGUCAAAAGGCAAAAUGGUUGUGCUAGUUCAAUUUUUUCAGUCCAUCUUCUGUAUGCUAUUCAGUACAUCUAAUUCCAAAUCGUAAGUACAAUUGCCUUUAUGUUUUCCAUCUUCAUAUAACACAAAAUAGGCACUGGAGGAUAAGGUGAGAAUAUAUACUAAUGAAAUGCUUGGUGGCGUUGUCCAUGUUUUGAAUUUAAACCACUAGCUUUUUUAUACACGAGCGCCUGUCCUGGGAGAGCCCUAUAUUGCCAUGAGCACUACUGCUACAAACUUUAAUCCCCCAUUGUCCGGCCCUAUAUUUUAUCCUCGGUUCUUAGAAAAGCAUGGAAACAAUUCUCUGUGUGUUAGAGUAUCAGUUCAUGUGGAGAAGAACAUGUUUCCUAUAUGAAAAAAAUAAUAUAUUAUUAUCAGUUCAAUAUGUAUUUUGUCAUUAGUUCAUACAGAACAACCGUAAAAAAUAUUUUGAUGUGUGUUAGAGAGAGAUCAACUUUAUAUUAUAUGGUAGCUCACUCAUUGCAUGAUUGCACAGCAGUUUGGCAUCAAAAUUCACAUCAGUUUAGGGGUGCCCGCAUCACGGUCUCACCGUGCUACCGCAAUCUCUCCUUGAUACGCCACCGGACGAGCCCCUCCUCACACUUUGGCAAGCUGUCACUUGCUCCUGUGCCUGGAUCCCAUGUGAGCGCUGAUGGUAGUCCUCUGUGUGCGUCAAUGGCACUUUCUCACAGCAAUCUCCCUCUCUUUCUUUGCUCCUGCUAUUAAAAUGCAUAGAUGUGGUAUUCUGCUAACUGAGUAGUUGGGAAGAUGUGAAAAGAACAUGCUCUUUAGGUGUUUGUGACUAUUCCUGUGAGCACCAAUGAAUUUAAAUUUUUAUUUUGUGCUUCCGUGUAUGUUUUUGGGCAGCACAAGUACAUCGUCAUAGUAAGUACAAAUGCGGUCUUAUGGAACUCUGAUAGUUGUUGGAUGCUAUUCCAAAUGCCAAUCAUGCAAAACGGUUGUUGCUAGAAUCUAGAUGAUAUUUAAUGUAGAUACCAUAGUUUCACCGUAUUUUUUGGUUCUAAAUAUUUCUGCAUACCUCUUUAAAAGAAUGUUCCGUUUGUGAUCAUUUCUUGUAGGUAUUCAUGUGGACUUUAAAUAAUGACUAUUCUUGUAUGAGGUUUGAAGAUUAUCGUGGAGCAAGUUCAAGAGAUUAGUUUCGUGAAAAUAAAUGUGAUCUUUUGGUCAGGAUUUUGCAUGAUCCAUAGCCAUCGAUGGCAACAGGAGGCGUCCUGCGUGAGUCGUCCAUCGUCUUCUAUGCGUGAGCUUGUUGUCUCUACACAUCUAGCAUCAGAGUAUCGCCUCCCCUUGCCACACACACAUGCGGUGUGGUCGAGCUAGUGUUGUUUGUGAUACUGCUCGUGACUCUUGCGUCGUCAUUGGACAAAGAAUUUGUUCUGUGACUAUGUAUUUGCAGGACCUUUAGCAAAUAUUGUUGUGUUCUGAGUAUUCUGAUGUGGGCCAAAUGGUGAGCAUUUAAACAUCAGUCUGAAUUAACAAAACUGAUAAGUUCUACUUUCAAUAAACUGAUGAACCUAGAUGCAACAAAGCUCUGCCAUUAGCCGUGGGGAUUAUCAGUUCAUGUGUAUUGUGUUCUUUUUGUCGGUUAAUGUAUUUCUUGUUUGUCAGGUCAUGUGCAAGUUUGUUAUCAGUUCAUGUGUAUGUGUAUUGGUGAUCUAUGCUAUUGCUGCUAGCUAUCGAUCAGACUGGUAUUACUUUGGCAGCUCCAUGUAAUUAGCCCCUUUGUUGGGUGAAUCUCCUACUACUUGCUAGCUUUGGAAUUGUAAAAACACAAUAAGUUCACAAUUUAAAAAGGUGUAAGUUCAACACGACGUCCUAGAUAAGUUUUAGGAAAAAGUUGAAACACAAAGAAAACCCAAAGAAAUUCAAAUGGUAACGUUCAAGUCGUGGGAUGAAAGAAGUCCAGAACAACGUUGAAAAUGUUAAGAGUUG